GCUUGUCUCAAAGAUUAAGCCAUGCAUGUCUAAGUAUAAACAAAUCUAUACUGUGAAACUGCGAAUGGCUCAUUAUAUCAGUUAUAGUUUAUUUGAUGGUUCUUGCUACUUGGAUAACCGAAGUAAUUCUAGAGCUAAUACAUGCAUCAAUCCUCGACUAUUUUGAAAGAGGUGUAUUUAUUAGAUGGAAACCAAUGCGGGGCAACACGGAUUCAGGUGAUUCAUAAUAGCUUUCGGAUCGAUCUUCGGAUCGAUGCAUCAUUCAAGUUUCUGCCCUAUCAGCUUUGGAUGGUAGGGUAUUGGCCUACCAUGGCUUUAACGGGUAACGGAGAAUUAGGGUUCGAUUCCGGAGAGGGAGCCUGAGAAACGGCUACCACAUCCAAGGAAGGCAGCAGG
RNAcentral lists this ribosomal RNA (396 nucleotides) under uncultured Paraphysomonas. Its description in RNAcentral is "partial small subunit ribosomal RNA". It matches the Rfam family "Eukaryotic small subunit ribosomal RNA", at positions 30 to 432 of the family's 1831-position model. Lineage: Eukaryota; Chrysophyceae; Chromulinales. The record is from RNAcentral.